GGGUCAGUAGGUUGGUCGUGCCACCGGUACGUACUGGUCUCACUGAUUCCUCCUUCCUGAAGAGCCGUAAUGCCAUUAAUUUGGUGUUGCGGGGAAACAGGACUGUUACUUUGAAAAAAUUAGAGUGUUUAAAGCAGGCUAACGCUUGAAUACAUUAGCAUGGAAUAAUGAAAUAGGACGAUCGAUCCUAUUUUGUUGGUUUCUAGGAUUGACGUA
RNAcentral lists this ribosomal RNA (216 nucleotides) under Glomeromycotina sp. RNAcentral describes it as "partial small subunit ribosomal RNA". The stretch from base 40 to 216 matches the Rfam family "Eukaryotic small subunit ribosomal RNA", at positions 686 to 864 of the family's 1831-position model. Lineage: Eukaryota; Fungi; Glomeromycota. The record is from RNAcentral.